This 88-nucleotide ribosomal RNA is filed under the name Vibrio cholerae. Its description in RNAcentral is "partial 16S ribosomal RNA". It matches the Rfam family "Bacterial small subunit ribosomal RNA", at positions 1 to 86 of the family's 1533-position model. The record is from RNAcentral. Lineage: Bacteria; Pseudomonadati; Pseudomonadota; Gammaproteobacteria; Vibrionales; Vibrionaceae.
UUUAAUUGAAGAGUUUGAUCAUGGCUCAGAUUGAACGCUGGCGGCAGGCCUAACACAUGCAAGUCGAGCGGCAGCACAGAGGAACUUG